This 274-nucleotide ribosomal RNA is filed under the name uncultured bacterium. Its description in RNAcentral is "partial 16S ribosomal RNA". It matches the Rfam family "Archaeal small subunit ribosomal RNA", at positions 473 to 747 of the family's 1478-position model. The record is from RNAcentral.
AAACCAGCACCUCAAGUGGUCAGGAUGAUUAUUGGGCCUAAAGCAUCCGUAGCCGGCUCUGUAAGUUUUCGGUUAAAUCUGUAUGCUCAACAUACAGGCUGCCGGGAAUACUGCAGAACUAGGGAGUGGGAGAGGUAGACGGUACUCGGGAGGAAGUGGUAAAAUGCUUUGAUCUCUCGAUGACCACCUGUGGCGAAGGCGGUCUACCAGAACACGUCCGACGGUGAGGGAUGAAAGCUGGGGGAGCAAACCGGAUUAGAAACCCCGGUAGUCC